GUUUAAUCUUAAUUUUAAGAAAGACAAACUCACCAACAAUUCUGUAGCACAGAUCUCAUGAACACUACUCCCCUCAACUCUAAGAUCUCACAAUCGCAACUUGCAAUUCUGAUGGGAUUUAGAAGGAAACGGAAAAAAACUGAAAGAAUUCUCUGUCUGGAAUCAUGAUGUUUUUCUCAGUUUUAAGGACAAGAUACGCUCAGGAUGUGAAAACCGGCAAAAUUACAGAAACAAAUGAGCGAAAUGUGGAGAAAGGGGAAAUCCCUUCUUCUCACGAUAUGUCUGCAAGAAGAUAUGGUGGUUUGGGGCAAAAGCAAGGAGCAGGAGCACAAAGAUCCAUCCAUUUUUAUGGAUGAGCAUACAACACCCGAAAACCAAAUAUUGGGUGAAGAGUCGGAGACAAAUUGCAACGACCAGGUUAUUGCUAUCAAAACAUCUGAUGAAAUUUGCGAUGAACAUGAUGAGAUUCAGCCGGCUAAUGUUUGAUAGGCGUGUUCGGGUUCGGCAUGCAUGGGGUUGGGUCGUAUCUUUAUUAUUUGUUUUGUUUCUUUUAGUUAAGUGUGUGACUAAUUAUAUGUUUACCAAGUUAUUGUUAAUCACAGUAGUUUUGUUUGUUAAUUAUGAUUUAACAAUUAUAUGUUUACCAUAUCGAUCUUCCCUUCUUUAAAACCACUUCCAUCACUUAAUUCGAAUCACACUCGCUCAACUUGAAUU
This 714-nucleotide long non-coding RNA is filed under the name Helianthus annuus (common sunflower). Lineage: Eukaryota; Viridiplantae; Streptophyta; Magnoliopsida; Asterales; Asteraceae. The record is from RNAcentral.